CAGGGAAACGGCGCCAGUUCAUCUUCAUUGCUUGAAGUAACUUAUGUGACUUACACCUCUGUUACAGUACAACCUAAAACUGAAGCAAGCAGUCCAGUAUCUGUGGAGGACGAGGUGACCUACAGCUCUGUGCACAAGUAGUUUAGAUGUUUCAGGUGCAAACCACUAAAUACCUGAACAAAAUAUGAACAAGUGAAGUUGAAACAAGCCAAUAUAUAGUACAUUUUUCAGGAAUACUUAUUCUGUUAAAAUUAUAUAUUUUAUCUCUUUGUCAAUAUAUUAGUGGCAUUGUGUAAGUACUUUUAGACAUGCAAAAAACACAAGGUUUACACUGAGAUCAAUAUUUUGUUUAGUAUUUUACUGUACGUGUGUGUAAAUUGUUGUUGUCUGCAAAAAGCUUAAAGCAAUAAUACAUAUUUGUUAAGUUGUAAAUAAUACACAUCUGUAAUGUACUUGCUUCUAAUCGUGACAAUAAAUAAAAUCUAUUUUUGUCUG
Molecule: long non-coding RNA, 495 nt
Organism: Carassius carassius (crucian carp)
Lineage: Eukaryota; Metazoa; Chordata; Actinopteri; Cypriniformes; Cyprinidae
Exons: 3
Source: RefSeq, a predicted model, not a curated record